Molecule: RNA transcript, 4509 nt
Organism: Thamnophis elegans (Western terrestrial garter snake)
Lineage: Eukaryota; Metazoa; Chordata; Lepidosauria; Squamata; Natricidae
Gene: GNG5
Gene name: G protein subunit gamma 5
Exons: 4
Source: RefSeq, a predicted model, not a curated record
AAACUUAAGUUUUCAACAGGCAACUUGGACUUCCGCUUCGGGCGAGGGGCGGGGGGGGGGCACGCGAGCCCGAGUUUGCGCAGGGAGUCCGCCAGCGCGCGCUGUGCCUGAGUCUCUCUCGAGUCUAUGGGCGGGGGAGUUUUCCAAGCGCCGGAAACUUGCCCGAAAGUUCCGAGAAGCAGCCCCCCCCCCUCACCCGCACAGCGACCCGCCCGUUUGCCAGCAGCAGCAGCGGCUCUUUUACGAGUUCGACGUCGCGCGGAGUUGAGUGAGGGAGAGGGCCAUGUCCGGCGCCUCCAACGUCGCCGCUAUGAAGAAAGUGGUGCAACAGCUGCGGCUCGAGGCUAGCGUGAGCCGCGUGAAGGUUUCGCAAGCUGCAGCUGAUCUGAAGCAGUUUUGCCUUCAAAAUGCACAUCACGAUCCUUUAUUAACAGGAGUUUCAUCAAGUACAAAUCCAUUCAGACCACAGAAAGUCUGUUCUUUUCUCUGAUUUGAUCUAACAACUUUUCCUAGCUGAUUAUGUUGAAUAUGGAAAUGAAACAAGAUGGCUUGGAGCCUGUACAGAAACUUUGUAUUAAUGUGCCAACUUUGAGCUUGUAAGAUUGCUAUUGUUUCAACCCCCCCUUAAAAUCUACCUCUCUAACAAGCUAUAUGCUAGUUGCUAUACUUUGUAUCAUGAGGGAAUCAAUUUUGUACUCAAGCAAUAGAGUUGACAUGAUUUUGAAUGUUAGCGUAAGUAUUUGAACUUGUCCUAAUACUUUGAACUGUGUAUCCAAAGCGUCACUAUUCUAAAAAUACUGUAAAAGUUAGUGCAUUUUGUAAAAAUAUUCCUGCUUUUCAAAACAAAAUAACAUCUUUAUCUAAACAAAUUAACGGUUUACAAUCAGUAUAGAUUUUGUUCUUUCUACUUCAGUUGUUAUAUAGUCAUAACUAAUUUGGAGUAAAUUGUAUUUGCCUCUAGAAGCAUCCUAAAUUGUGAAUAUCCUAUAAAACUAAAAAUAAAUAAAUGCCUUGUUAUACAUUAUUUACCAAUCUAAUACAAUUUUGUUUCUUCUCUGUUUUACAUCAAUCUGGAGUAGCAUAAAUUAGUCAAAAAGGAAACCAAAAUAUUAAAAUCGAUUACUAAAUACAUAACAUAGAACAAGAAUAUUGUGUAGAUUUCUAAAAUAGUUUUGGAACAAACUGAAUAAUCUUAAAUAACUGGCUGCAUAUAGUUUUUCUUAUUUAUAUUUGCAUAAUUAUCAUGCCUGACAGGUCAAAGCAAGAUCUGAGUUAACCAAGCUGACUAUCAGUUUAGGUCAGUGCAGAGGUGAUGCUUAGUUGAGUAUCACAUUCAUUUGAAACAAUUAUUCCCUAGAGACCAUUGAUUUAAUUUUUGACUUAUCUAAACAGAGUGACUUCUAAGGUGUAAGUUCAGUUUUAUAUCUUCUUUUUCUUCUUCUGCCAUAUCCAUCAACAGAUGUUGUCUGUCAUGUUGUUGAUCCUAUUUUUAUCAACAGAUACACAAAAAAGUUGCUGUUUUGUUCCAACCAGUCCCUUAGAUUUUGAAGGCAUGACUAUCUUCUGCCUGGACCUUGUUUGCCUUCAAUCUUUCCUUGGAGGAUUAAGUGACACAUGCCGUAUAUUUCUGGGUGUUAAAUCACAUAUCCAAAAUAUUCUUUCGUUUUAUAGUUUUGAUGAUUUUCCUUGGCUUUCCCAAGCAGCUUAACACCUCAUUUCUGAUUUUGUCAAGCCAACUUAUAUGUAAUAGCCACCUGUAAAUCAACAUUUCAAAUGCUUCUAGUCUCUUCAAGUGGCUUUCUGUCAGAGACCAACUCUUCACUCUAUAGAGGAUAGAAACAAUUAGCAUCUAACAAGCCUGAUUUUCAAUCUUAGGCUUAUAUUGUGACUGCAGAAGACUUUUCAUUUUAAGAAUGCUGUUCAAGCUUUACCCUUGUUUUUACUUCAGUGGUCAUGUUCCAGCUUUCAUGUAAAUUAGAACUCAAGUACAUGAUUCAACUUUUUCUAGUGUAUUCCUUCCAAAAUUAUUGGUGGUAAAUUAAUGGGUUGUUUGCCAAUGACCAUGAUCUUGGUUUUUGAGAUGUUCAAGCCGUAUUUUUCAGAUAUUUCUUUGACAAGGAUUUGUUGAUGAGGAACUGAAGUUUUAUAUCUAAAAUCAUUUUUUUUCUUUGUAUAUCUGGGGACAAUUAGUGAAAAAUGGAAAGUACAGUUUACCAUUGUGUCCAAACUGGGAACUGCUUUGUAGUACCUACAUGUAUGUAAACAAAUAUUAAAGCAUUUAAGGUUAAUCUGUAGAUUACAAUUGCAUAUGAACUGAGUAAUAUUGGUCAGAUUAAAAAGAACUUUGUUUUUCUUUCGCUUCCUGUGAUUAUAGACAGAAUUUCCAUUAUCUCAAGUUUCAUUAAGAUGGACACAGAAAAUGGGGUGUUCCCUAAUUUCUUCUCCCUUUAAAAAAAGAAGAUUCAUUUCCCAUUUAUUCCUUGUAUAGGUACUUGAAGAAUAUUUCAGUUCCUUAUGCAAUUUUUAAAAAAAUUAAGCUUACGGAAGAUCAAAUAAACAAAAUCUGUAUAGCCACUAUAUCUGAAUUGUACUGUUAUUUUUCUGCGUUAAUGAACUGCUUGAACAUUCAACAAUAGCCGGUAAUAGUAUUUGACAUGUAAAAUGUUUAUUUGUGGCAAAUAAUAUAUUCAACACAAAACCUGAUUUUAAGAUCCAGAACUAGAUAUUUUAAUUCAGAAUAAGAUAUGAAAGAAUUAAAUUACAAAGCAUUAUUUUUGAGAAGGGUCCAUGACUUCUUAACAAAAGGAGAUAGUGACUGAUGCAGUCUCUUUCCUCUUUCUUGAAGUCUUCUAUUAUUUAUAAAAAGUAACUGAAUUUUCAGCCCUGAAGAGAAUAGGGUCAUGGCCAUGUUCGCAAGGUCUGUGUGUGUGUGUGUGUAUGUUCCAUGUGUAACCUGAAUAUCUUCAAGGGUACUCCAUAAGCUUUUGUUGGUGAGAAAAAUACAAAAAUGGUAUUACUGUGUUCAUUCUUAUAAAUGAAAUUUUCUUCGGCUUGUGUCCAUUUCACGGCGCUGAAAAACAGUAAUGUUCAUUAUAGUUUGCUACAAAAAUACAAAUAUUUGUAAAUUCCUGUAAUACAAUUCAGGUUAUGGAGCAAUAAGAUAAUACCAAAUUACAAGAUUUUUAAGGCAUGCCUGGAAUGAAAGUAAUUAGGUUAAAUAUCACAGCAAACUUAAGCCAGCCUAGGUUUAGUCUGGACCUUUUGAGUUUAGAAUUCUUACUUGCCAAGCAAGAAUGUUUGUUAAUAAAGAUUUAUUGGACAUAAUCUUAAGCACACAGGGAGUCGGCACUUUUAUACACCCCUUUAUCUAGGCACAUUCCUGUUUUCUGACAACCUUAAAGCAUUGAACUCAAAUAGAAACCUUAGUAUGUCAUAUAAGUGCAAAAUCUUCAUUUAUCUCCCCCCACACCAGCUUAUGAAUUUACACAGAAUUCCUAUAUAUUUGAUAUGCUUUCAAUAACCUGUUUUUGAAACCUUGUUUUUCCAAAUACUUGUAAAUAAAUAAUCCUAAAAUGCAUUGAUGUGGGGAUACAAUACUCCCUUGAAAACAGUAUUGUUGUAAAUAGGCAAGAUGCUCUGGCUGUAUUAAAGGUCAUAUAAACAUUCACAGCACUCUGACCUCUGUUCUUUUUCAAUUAUAUUUUGAAUAUAAUUGACAGCUUUUGACAGCUAAUUGUAUUGUGCACAAAAGUACUUUUGAAGGCUAGUGUCUAAUAUGGGCUGGGUAUGUGCCAAAAAUAACUUAUACUAGUAACAAAAUUAUUCUUUAGAAUGCAAUUAUUAUAAUUCAAGCUUAACAUUUUUGAGUGACUUUAUUAAUGAAAUCCUUAUGGAAAUGUUGAUGGAUCAAGUAUUUUAAAAUAUCUCACUUAUAAUCAUAGGUAGUGAAAACAUGAAAAUAAUUCUACUGGAUCAGACUGAAGACCAGUUAGUCAAUAUUCCAUUUCACUGAAUGCCCACCAAAUACAAUUAUAGGUAAUACUUGAUUUACAGCCAUUUUGUUUAGUGACUGAAGUUACGAAGGCACUGCAAAAAGUCACUUACGACUGUUUCUCAUGUUAACUGUUGCAGUAUUCCUAUAGUCACAGAAUCAAAAUUUGGUCACUUAGUGACCAAAGUGUUUAUGGCAGUUGCAGUGUAGUGGUAUCCAGUGAUUGCUAUUUUUGGCCUUCCCAGUCAGCUUCCAGCAAGCAGAGUCAAGGGGGGAAGCUGGAUUCACUUAACGACUGUGAUGUUAAUAAGCAUAGUAAAAAAAGAUUGUAAAACUGGAUGCAACUUUUUAAACUGCUUGUUGCUGUGUUCUAGUCUAGGCUGACAAUAUGUCAACUUGCAAAUAAGAAAUCAAGCAACCCUCAACUGCCACUCACAUGCACCUAAUGUAUAUAGGCAGACUGCCCGCAUGUCUGCAAGCAGCAUCCACUAUUGGUCACACAUGUAACACUGCAAAUU